AACCUGCCCAUCAGAAGGGGAUAACAUUUGGAAACAGGUGCUAAUACCGUAUAACAAUCAAAACCGCAUGGUUUUGAUUUGAAAGGCGCUUUCGGGUGUCGCUGAUGGAUGGACCCGCGGUGCAUUAGCUAGUUGGUGAGGUAACGGCUCACCAAGGCCACGAUGCAUAGCCGACCUGAGAGGGUGAUCGGCCACAUUGGGACUGAGACACGGCCCAA
RNAcentral lists this ribosomal RNA (218 nucleotides) under uncultured Enterococcaceae bacterium. Its description in RNAcentral is "partial 16S ribosomal RNA". It matches the Rfam family "Bacterial small subunit ribosomal RNA", at positions 123 to 334 of the family's 1533-position model. The record is from RNAcentral. Lineage: Bacteria; Bacillati; Bacillota; Bacilli; Lactobacillales; Enterococcaceae.